UGGGGAAUAUUGGACAAUGGGCGAAAGCCUGAUCCAGCCAUGCCGCGUGUGUGAAGAAGGUCUUCGGAUUUUAAAGCACUUUAAGUUGGGAGGAAGGGCAGUAAGCGAAUACCUUGCUGUUUUGACGUUACCGACAGAAUAAGCUCCGGCCAACUCUGUGCCAGCAGCCGCGGUAAUACAGAGGGUGCAAGCGUUAAUCGGAAUUACUGGGCGUAAAGCGCGCGUAGGUGGUUCGUUAAGUUGGAUGUGAAAGCCCCGGGCUCAACCUGGGAACUGCAUCCGAAACUGGCGAGCUAGAGUAGGGCAGAGGGUGGUGGAAUUUCCUGGGUAGCGGUGAAAUGCGUAGAUAUAGGAAGGAACACCAGUGGCGAAGGCGGCCACCUGGGCUCAUACUGACACUGAGGUGCGAAAGCGUGGGGAGCAAACAGG
RNAcentral lists this ribosomal RNA (429 nucleotides) under Pseudomonadota bacterium. RNAcentral's name for it is "Proteobacteria bacterium partial 16S ribosomal RNA". It matches the Rfam family "Bacterial small subunit ribosomal RNA", at positions 355 to 776 of the family's 1533-position model. Lineage: Bacteria; Pseudomonadati; Pseudomonadota. The record is from RNAcentral.